Molecule: long non-coding RNA, 2749 nt
Organism: Contarinia nasturtii (swede midge)
Lineage: Eukaryota; Metazoa; Arthropoda; Insecta; Diptera; Cecidomyiidae
Exons: 3
Source: RefSeq, a predicted model, not a curated record
CUUUGUAUCAUCUGCUGACGAUAUCCAGAUGAGCUGUAAUAUCCAGUUGACGACAGCUAAAUAUAUUGUCUGUUCAAGGCUAAUGUCGAAAAUCUCAAAAGCUAGUACCAAACACCAGUGAACUGAAGAAAUUAUAAAAUAAAUUUUAGAACUUAACUUAUUCAUACAAAAUAAUAUCAUUGGGUCUACAUCUGGACAGUCCAAUGAUUUUUUGAAAAAUUAAAAAAAUCGUCCAGAAAACCUGUACCAGUCUAUGUAUUUCGGAUGGAUAUUCCAUCCAUCUGAAAUACAUAGACUGGCCUGUACAAAAUAUUUUGCUUAAUACACGCUGGUUUCCAUUUGUGCAUGUUAGCGUUUAAUAAGCGGAAAAAUAUUUAAAUUUUGGCUGGAAUUCAAACCACAUUUCACAAAAAAUAGAGGACUUUUGUUUGGAAUGCAUUUACAUUUGUACGUUACUUACUAUGUAAUUGCACAUACAGCAAAAGCGAUAAAUUAUCAAUAUUCAAUUAUUCACGUUUUGAUCUGAACAAUAUGAAUCUUUAAAUUGCAAUCAAAAAUACACUGCCAAAGGGCUUGAAAGUAAUGCAUAAACGAGUGGAAUUAAAAAAAAUAUUUUAAAGCCCCAUAGAUCCGCAGAAAAAUUAAUCAAUUCAAUCAAAAUUAUAUGAUUUGAAUUCGAGCCAUAUCGACUUUCGUCAAAAAAAUUAAUGAAAAUACACAGAAAUUCGGUAGUUUGUCGUACUAGAGCUACUAUUCACAAGGUCGAUCUAGUAUUCUGACAAUGUUUUUUCGAAAGGGCAUCUAAAGACCUACAAACUGAGCGAUUAUAAUCAAAAUCAUAGAAUUUGAACUCGAGUUACAACGUACAAAUCAAGUUGUCUUGAAGUUCCCAUACAAAUUCUUAGGAAAAACCUCAUUUACAAGAAAAAUAAUUUUCUUGGACGAAUUUUCCAAAAUAUAGUUUUCGUGGAUUCGGUUCAGGACUCUGAAAAAAUAGGUUUCAAGUUGAUAGCUGAUACCUUACUUGAGUUAUUCAUGGUACAAACAAACAAACCGAAAACGUUUCUAAAGCUUGAUUAUACAUCAAGCAAUACGGUUGAUUUCGUUUCUGACAGUCAUUUUGGCAAAAUGGUCACUAAGUUCAAAAUUUAACUUUUAGAUUUAAACAAUUUAUUUUUUAUUAUUUUAACUUUAUUUUACAUUUUUACUGCCAAUUUUGUUACAUUUACUACUUAGUUUGUAUUUAACCACAAAAAUAUAUUUAAAAAUCAGAAAUGUAUUAGAUUGAAUCCAAGGGAAACAAAUGUAAAAAUUCUAGUUAAAUUUAGAAAAACAAUAAUAAUUUUAAGCGAUUGAAAACACAAAAUCAGUCUGCCAUUGGAGAAAUCAGCAUACCAAAAAGUCACACAGCGACAAACACACACAUUUGCUUCUAAUAAAAAAAUUGCGUUAAAAUGAUCAAUCAUCAUAUCCGCCAUUCAAACUGCUUUAAGAAACGAUAUCAUAUGGCACAUUUGAAAUGCUGCCACUCGAGUCCGUGAGGAGUCCAAGGCCUCUGUUCAUCGAUUACAUUUCCUUCAUCGUAUUUCACAUAUAAAUGUGGAUCGACUCAGGAAUGGAUCAUUCAAAGAUCAAUUUAAAUUGCUCAAGAUCAAAUAUUUCAUCGAAAAAUCGGAAAAUCACAUUUAAAAUGGACUCAUGAAACGAAAACUACUUCGCAAUAAAAAAAAAUAUGGCAUGUUCUAUCAAUUCAAUGGAGCUAUAUGAGCAGUUCGCCCUCUAAGGUGCAGAUUAGAAAUGAUAAUUAUUAUCUUCGAUUCCAUGGCAACAGAUCACUUGAAUCGAUCACAUAAGUGCCUCAAGAUCAAUUGUCAACGAUGGUAGAUAGAAUGAAGUCGCAUCGAAAAUAAACAACGAGCCCAACAUGCUUAUCCAGUUUAAAUGUAAAACCAGCACUUUUCAUCAUGAGUGUCAAUUCGAGAAAAUCGCAACAUUUCACUGAACGAAACUGAAGUCACUUUGAAAGGUCGCACAAUUGCAAACAGAAAAUAGGUUACUCUAGACAAAUAAAGUAAAUUAAAUUCAAAUCACAUAAAUAUCAAUAAAUGUUAAGUUUUUGAAAAUUCGCGAAAAUAAGAUUUUAUGAAAAAAUCCUUUAAUACACGGCAACGAUUGAUUCGUUUUUUGAAUUCAAACGAUUUUUUUUUCACAGAAGUUAAAUUAAGAUAAUUUUUGCAUCAAAGAAACUAUUACCUUUUAUCGAAAAAAGAUAUUUUUUUCAUUAAGAAAAAAAAAACACAAUUGUAGAAUUAAUAUCGUACAGGCAUCAUUGAAUCAAUCUAUAUUUUAAUCAUAUAUUUAAUUAUAUAAUCAAAAUUAUACGCCUUACGAUCACUUUACAUUGUAGUUCACUUUUGCCGAUUACGUUCACUUACAAAACUGACAUUUCUUUACUUUAUCUCGUUUGCAAAAAAGUGAAUAGUAUAAAUAAAUUAAUUCGACCAUAAUUAAUUAUUGGCUAAAUCGGCUAUUUUGGAUCGUUAGUAGUCUGAAUGCCAAGUUGGAUAUAAUCAUCUUAAUUUGUUUCAAAAAAAAAAAAAACACAAAAAAACUGUCAAAACGUUCCAAAUUAGCUAGUUGACUGAUCAGUCAAUAUUUUUACACACAGGACCAUUAUUAUAAGUUUCACUGUUAUUUGAUAGGAAAAUUUAAGAAAGUUCAAUAAAACCAUGAAGUUUGUUGAUGUAAA